RNAcentral lists this long non-coding RNA (632 nucleotides) under Elaeis guineensis (African oil palm). RNAcentral describes it as "long non-coding RNA (EGUI_LNC064956)". Lineage: Eukaryota; Viridiplantae; Streptophyta; Magnoliopsida; Arecales; Arecaceae. The record is from RNAcentral.
GGGUUUCAGGGUUAGAUCUUGAAAAAGAGGGUUAGAUCUUGAAACUUUUUCAAGAUCAUACAGCGGAAGACUAAAAUAAAUCAAAAUUUAUUUUUUAAGAUUAGAAAAUCCCUAGAUCUAAGAUCCUAUUACAUGAUUAUUACAUGGUAUUAAAUCAAAAAUUAAAAUAUAUAAAUAUAGCAUGAACUACAUGUUCAUCAUAUCAACAUGUUUCUAUACUACAUCUAAUGUAUGUAUUAAACAAUAGAUCAGAUCUAUUACCUUGCAAGUUAGACGUUCUAACCUUGCUGAUCUGGGCUUGAGGAUGAUGUUGCAAGCCGCACACACAUCCGGCCUCUAAGAGUCAUCCACACGAGCCCACGAAUUUUGAUCAGAAGUCCUGCUUCAGGAAAUCAGCACAGUAUGCUAGUACUGCGCUGAUCCUUCUUUGAUGGUUGAUCAGGUGCCUCCUUCUUCUUGAUUUGGACUCUUCCAAAGAUGGAAAGUAGAAGGAGGAGUUUCAGAUCUGAGACACUCUCAGAAAACUCAAGAUGGAGGGAGGAAAGAUAUGAAAAUAAAAACCCUAGUAGAAGACCCUCUUCUUCUUCACGUUUUUCUCUCUAGACACCCAAACUUGUGUCUUUUAUAUCUCC